UCCCUCCUGGCUCAGCUGGUAGGGCAUCCACCUGCAAUGCGGGAGACCUGGGUUUGAUCCUGGGUUGGGAA
Molecule: transfer RNA, 71 nt
Filed under: Bos taurus (domestic cattle)
Lineage: Eukaryota; Metazoa; Chordata; Mammalia; Artiodactyla; Bovidae
Rfam family: tRNA
About the family: Transfer RNA (tRNA) molecules are approximately 80 nucleotides in length. Their secondary structure includes four short double-helical elements and three loops (D, anti-codon, and T loops). Further hydrogen bonds mediate the characteristic L-shaped molecular structure. tRNAs have two regions of fundamental functional importance: the anti-codon, which is responsible for specific mRNA codon recognition, and the 3' end, to which the tRNAs corresponding amino acid is attached (by aminoacyl-tRNA synthetases). tRNAs cope with the degeneracy of the genetic code in two manners: having more than one tRNA (with a specific anti-codon) for a particular amino acid; and 'wobble' base-pairing, i.e. permitting non-standard base-pairing at the 3rd anti-codon position.
Source: Rfam by way of RNAcentral